UCGUUCCUUUUGUACAACCUUUACUAAAACGGUGCAGGCUGGAACCAAACCAUUUUGGAAAGAAAAAGGAAAAAAAAACAACAAAAAAGACAACACAUGUUUGACAAGGCACUGCAGCCAUGAGAAAUGUCCCAUUUUUUCUUUCACUAAAGCCUUAUUUACAAGAAAAUAAUAAUAAUAAUAAACAAAAGCUUGAUGUUGAUAAGUGAGAUGUUGGAGAGCUGGGCCGUGUGAGGCACGCUAUCUGAGCGUUCCCGCCGUGAACAGAAACGUGUCCCUGUGCGAACGCUAUCGUAACUAAUUAUGUCGAAUUUUUACGUACGCGAGGUUUGAAGUGGGAGCAAGAGCACAUCCGGUGUUAGUUUUCAAAUGGAGGACUUCCAUCAUCCUUGGAAGCUUAAGGGAUUAAAUGUACAGCGCCUGUCAGGUUGCUGAUCGAUAGAACAGAUUCAUGCAUCAGGAGCUUUUCUAGAAACUGAACGAUCCAAGUCCAAACACCAGACUUUCACUAGCUAGUGUGUUUACUAUACGAUUGAUCCUGGUUUCAGUUUUUUGAAGGGGUCCCAAACUGUAAAAACAAAUUACUCGAGCCUAUAAACUGUUCUUUUCAUUUCCUGACUCAGCUAAUGUCCCAAACAACUACUCCUGCUUGCUGUUAUGUCAACUUUAGGAUUCAUUGUCAUUUUCUUCCAGGACACGCCCACAUUUCAUUAGCAAGAAUUUCAGAAUUCUGAUGUUGGUAUUUCGAUUUGGAAAUUUGGGGGUUUUUUUGGUACUUGUCGUACUGGUUGUAUUUUUUUCUGAUAGCAGCUAAUCAUCAAAGCCUAAAAAGCUUUUUUAAUUUCCUUACCUAGCUAGAGUGCUGGACAUUGCUUAAUUUCCAUAUCUUUAAAUUUUGAUAUACAAGUCAUUAAUUUGUUUAUUCUGCGUAUCAGUAACUUCUAACGCCAUAUAGUAUAAAUUCAGCUCAAGGUCAGAUUCCAGUGUUCACAUUAGCAAAUGGUGGAAAAAGACCUCAAAUGGCUGUUUGGCAAUAAAGCAAUUUUUACACACAUUAGUGUGUUCAUUUAUAGCAAUUUAUGUUUAUCUCGGGUUUUUCCUACUAACUAUAAAGACUGGCUACACUAAAAAAUUAAAAAAUUAAAUCUAAACAGGCCACGCCCACAAAGGAAAUAGACUGAAGUAGGUUUUUGCUUGCUAGUGUAAACACAGGCUCAUGUUAGGUAGCUGUGUCUUCCCAUAAUGCACUGUUUUAACACUGAGAACUGGCAUCGAGGUGCAUGUUGGCUUGUGGAGUCAAACCAAGCCUUCCAGAUAAUUAGAGAUCACCAGACGAUCUCCAGACUGUCAGCAGACGAUCACCAGAUGCUCAACAAAUGCAGGCUAUGAAGGACUAAUCCAUGAUGGGUGGGUAUGAAAGCCUUCCAGCCCGGCGCGUUCACGUCUCGCGCAACGCCGCGACGCGCGCGCACGAGGCGCGGCGAAAGAAACAAACACGCGAGGAGAGCGGCCCUGCCCCACGCCGAUCGGUGAUGCUGCGACGUGUCGAUGUUGCCAUAGAGAUCGGACCUAGUCUUAUUUUUUUUUUUUUUCACCAAAAAAAUGAAUAAUUUGUAGUAGUAAUAAUAUUAUUAUUAGAUUGAAUUAUAAUAAUGAUAAUGAUGAUGAUGAUGAUUAUUAUAAUAAAAGAUCACCCGAGCGCGCGCCAAAGCAAACAGAGCGGUGAGGGAGGCUAAAAAUAACGGCAUCUAGUGUCUGUUCAUUCUCUAUGCGCU
Silurus meridionalis is the source of this 1775-nucleotide long non-coding RNA. RefSeq lists it as uncharacterized. The transcript has 3 exons. NCBI's taxonomy places the organism in Eukaryota, Metazoa, Chordata, Actinopteri, Siluriformes, Siluridae. The record is from RefSeq and is a predicted model, not a curated record.